AAAGGAAUAGACGGGGGCCCGCACAAGCGGUGGAGCAUGUGGUUUAAUUCGAUGAUACGCGAGGAACCUUACCCAGGCUUGACAUAAGGGGGAAUAUGGCAGAGAUGCCAUAGCUCUUCGGAGUCGCCUUACAGGUGCUGCAUGGCUGUCGUCAGCUCGUGUCGUAAGAUGUGAGAUUAAGUUCUUCAACGAGCGCAACCCCUACCGUCUGUUGCCAGCAGGUAAAGCUGGGGACUCAGGCGGAACUGCCGGUGACAAACCGGAGGAAGGCGGGGAUGACGUCAAGUCAUCAUGGCCCUUACGUCUGGGGCUACACACGUGCUACAAUGGCCGGUACAGAGCGAAGCGAAGCCGCGAGGCGGAGCGAAUCGCAAAAAGCCGGUCUCAGUACGGACUGGAGUCUGCAACUCGACUCCACGAAGUUGGAAUCGCUAGUAAUCGCGCAUCAGCAUGGCGCGGUGAAUACGUUCCCGGGCCUUGUACACACCGCCCGU
RNAcentral lists this ribosomal RNA (494 nucleotides) under uncultured bacterium. Its description in RNAcentral is "bacterial SSU rRNA". It matches the Rfam family "Bacterial small subunit ribosomal RNA", at positions 903 to 1397 of the family's 1533-position model. The record is from RNAcentral.